This 492-nucleotide ribosomal RNA is filed under the name uncultured bacterium. RNAcentral's name for it is "partial 16S ribosomal RNA". It matches the Rfam family "Bacterial small subunit ribosomal RNA", at positions 29 to 507 of the family's 1533-position model. The record is from RNAcentral.
AGUGAACGCUGGCGGUAGGCCUAACACAUGCAAGUCAAACGGCAGCACAGUAAGAGCUUGCUCUUACGGGUGGCGAGUGGCGGACGGGUGAGGAAUACAUCGGAAUCUACUUUUUCGUGGGGGAUAACGUAGGGAAACUUACGCUAAUACCGCAUACGACCUACGGGUGAAAGCAGGGGAUCUUCGGACCUUGCGCGAUUGAAUGAGCCGAUGUCGGAUUAGCUAGUUGGCGGGGUAAAGGCCCAGCAAGGCGACGAUCCGUAGCUGGUCUGAGAGGAUGAUCAGCCACACUGGAACUGAGACACGGUCCAGACUCCUACGGGAGGCAGCAGUGGGGAAUAUUGGACAAUGGGCGCAAGCCUGAUCCAGCCAUACCGCGUGGGUGAAGAAGGCCUUCGGGUUGUAAAGCCCUUUUGUUGGGAAAGAAAAGCAGCAGGUUAAUACCCCGCUGUUCUGACGGUACCCAAAGAAUAAGCACCGGCUAACUUCGUG